This 628-nucleotide ribosomal RNA is filed under the name Bacillus subtilis. Its description in RNAcentral is "bacterial SSU rRNA". It matches the Rfam family "Bacterial small subunit ribosomal RNA", at positions 136 to 748 of the family's 1533-position model. The record is from RNAcentral. Lineage: Bacteria; Bacillati; Bacillota; Bacilli; Caryophanales; Bacillaceae.
GAAUGGGAUAACUCCGGGAAACCGGGGCUAAUACCGGAUGGUUGUUUGAACCGCAUGGUUCAAACAUAAAAGGUGGCUUCGGCUACCACUUACAGAUGGACCCGCGGCGCAUUAGCUAGUUGGUGAGGUAACGGCUCACCAAGGCAACGAUGCGUAGCCGACCUGAGAGGGUGAUCGGCCACACUGGGACUGAGACACGGCCCAGACUCCUACGGGAGGCAGCAGUAGGGAAUCUUCCGCAAUGGACGAAAGUCUGACGGAGCAACGCCGCGUGAGUGAUGAAGGUUUUCGGAUCGUAAAGCUCUGUUGUUAGGGAAGAACAAGUACCGUUCGAAUAGGGCGGUACCUUGACGGUACCUAACCAGAAAGCCACGGCUAACUACGUGCCAGCAGCCGCGGUAAUACGUAGGUGGCAAGCGUUGUCCGGAAUUAUUGGGCGUAAAGGGCUCGCAGGCGGUUUCUUAAGUCUGAUGUGAAAGCCCCCGGCUCAACCGGGGAGGGUCAUUGGAAACUGGGGAACUUGAGUGCAGAAGAGGAGAGUGGAAUUCCACGUGUAGCGGUGAAAUGCGUAAAGAUGUGGAGGAACACCCAGUGGCGAAGGCGACUCUCUGGUCUGUAACUGACGCUG